AGGAGAUAUUUUUCCUAGUCUCACCACUAGCUUCGACCUUUCGAACUUUCAAUCUUCUAUUAUUAAUGGAAUCCACUUAACAACCUUUUCCUAUUUUACUCCAUUUAGUCCUAAUCCACAAAAGCCAAACCCACACCUAUUGUUUAAAGCCUGGCCAGUGGCCAUGUAAAUAUAUGCUAUCAAUAUCAUUCUCACUGUUUUUCACUCGGGGGCCAAUUUUUUUUCUCCGAGUCUGAUCACGAGCUUCGACCUUUCGAAUUUUGAAUCUUGAAAAUGGGUCGCAGCAUGGGUUUUUUUGGCAUUGCGCUGUGUGAUUCAAUGGUUGUGGCCUUGAGGGUCGCUAGCUCUCCAUACUGUUUGCUUUGCUGUUGUCCUUUGCUCGUUUGUUACUUUUGAAAAGCAAACCAAUUCCUUAGCCUCAGUGAAAGCUCCCUUUCGCUAAUGGCAUCGCACGUACUCUUGUGGUUGUCGCCACGGCACGUCCUCCAUGUGGCGGUGGGUCCAUUGUCUUUUGCUUUUUAUGAUUUCAAUGCCUUGGAAAAUUGCUUUAGUUCCCAUCCAUUUCCCACCAUCGCCCAAUCAUGUGGUUCUGCCGAUGUCAGGCUGUAGCUAAUUCGUCGUUUUCUGAAAACGACACUAUUCUUUUUUAGUCCAUUUAGCUUUACUAUUAUUUCUCUGUUCACACAAUAAAUUGGGUAAGUUGUUCUCUUCAUACCUCACAUUAUUUUACUUUUAUUUUAAAAUAUUAUAAUAAAUUAGAAAUGAUAAAGCCUGAAACUGUAACCUCACUCGUAAAAGGAUCCUGUGAUCUUACCUUAGCUAAAAAUUAGAGGUUCAUCAGAAUAUCCCAAUAAGGAUCCUCCAACAUUCAAAGGAAAUUAUUCUCUGAUAAUGAUAGAAUAGUGAGAAAAUAGAGACCCUUCUCUUUUUACCUAACUUUAUCUAGUGAAAAAUAAAUAAGAGCAUAUAAUUUUUACAUAUUCUAAAAAUAUUUUCUAAUAGAAUAUAUCUCUUAAUUAAAAAAUAUAUUCUGUUAAGUGAUUAUUUUAUAUUAUAUAAAAAGGCAAACUAAUGUGAAAGGAGUUUUAAAUAAUAUUUUAAAAGAAUUUGUUUUAUAUUAAUUAUAAAUAUUAUGUGAUUGUUUUGUUAAUUGAGUAACAUAUUUUGCAAUAUAUAUAUAUAUAUAUAAAUGCUCGGAUGAUUGGAGUGGUGGAAAAAUCAAAGUAUGGGAGUUGAUUUGACAUUUUUCCAUUAAAUUGCUAGUUUAAUUAUUUUUUUAUUAAU
This 1284-nucleotide unclassified non-coding RNA is filed under the name Hevea brasiliensis (rubber tree). Lineage: Eukaryota; Viridiplantae; Streptophyta; Magnoliopsida; Malpighiales; Euphorbiaceae. The record is from RNAcentral.